UGUGUGUGUGUGUGUGUGUGUGUGUGUGUGUGUGUGAACACACAUAAACGUACACAAUACACACAUAUA
Non-coding RNA from Podarcis lilfordi (Lilford's wall lizard), 69 nucleotides. NCBI's taxonomy places the organism in Eukaryota, Metazoa, Chordata, Lepidosauria, Squamata, Lacertidae. The record is from the annotation of a GenBank genome assembly.